This is a long non-coding RNA of Malurus melanocephalus (red-backed fairy wren), 1694 nucleotides long. RefSeq lists it as uncharacterized. The transcript is spliced from 3 exons. The record is from RefSeq and is a predicted model, not a curated record. NCBI's taxonomy places the organism in Eukaryota, Metazoa, Chordata, Aves, Passeriformes, Maluridae.
GGGAAGAAUUGCAGAAGUCAGCAGUAGCUCAUCAGAGCAAAAAGAACUGAAGUUGUAUAAAACCCUUCUAUGGACAAAUCUCAGCUGCAGCCAGGGAAGAGCAGUUUUUUUAUUCCAGAGUGGUCCAGGCCUGUGCAGUUGGCAGAGAUUAAUUACUCCAAAAUAGAGGRCAUCUGAUUGCUUCAAAGUGUAAAUGUUUUAAUGAGAUGGGAAGGAAAAAGAAAUUUUCACAAAUAGUUUUUCCUUAUGAAAAACACUGAUAUGGGAUUUCUGAUCUUGCUGCCACUGAAUUUCAGGUUUUUGUUAAACCUCCCGCUCAGUUUGUAAAGGCAGCGGCACAAAGCUGCAAGUCAAGAGAUGAACUGUUUGCAGCUCCAUUAUUUGCACAGCAGUGCCUCACAGUGAACUCAKUUCAGCACCUUGUGAAAAGCAGCUGAAAAGGGACAGAAGGAACCUGUUGGAUGUUGACAUCUACCUCCCAACUCUCCAAUCCCCUCUCGCCUGUCCUGCCAAAAUGCUGGCGCUCCCCCCGUGCCCGAUUGCAUCAUUCAUUCACGCCGCUGUUAUAAAACAGCCACCAGGGCAGCACAGGCACAAGAUCCUCCUCAUUUUCCGUGCUGGGAAUUUAAAAAAAAAAAAAAAAAAGAAACCCCACGGUGUUACGGAUCUGCAAGGCAAACGCCAACCCCUUCCGACCUGCGAGAAAAGCAAAGCGCGAUGUCAGUGACUUACAGGACUGAACUGUGGCUGCUGCCGCCGCUGGGAACCUCUUGGCUGCGCCGGGCAGGGAGGGAUCAGCUUCAGUCACACAAACCCCACGCACGGGCUGCGCUGGAGCGGAGCCGCAUUUUGCCGCUCAGCCCCUGAUAAAAGUGCUGAAAUUUCUCAGGACAYGACCAUUUGUUUACAACAUCAUCUSUCAGUAACAUCUUGAGUCAGGRUAAGAUGGGACCAAGCCCCUCUGCUGCCAAGCUGGUGCUGUGGAUCAGCAGCCCAGUGCUGUUUGUCAGCUUUAUCGUGGCAGGACAGGAUGUUGUUUAAAGCAGAUUUAGAAAUCAUUUCUGUGAAUAAGGUUAAAGGAAAACCCGUCUUGAUAAAGAUCAAAGAAAAUGGCUUUUACUGAGAAUCUCAGAGGGGUUUUUGCCAAGAUAAGCAGUGCCUGGCUUGACUGAGAGAAUUGCUGCUGAAUAUUUCAUGAAGGAUAUURCCUUUAUUUGGCUUCGUUUAAUGGACAUGUUGGCUUUAAAUUAGUUAAAUAUUUUGAUUCUAACCUGGUGUAAUCCGUUGAAUUCAUAGGGUAAUUUAGUCUGGUAAGCAUUUGCCCUGUAUUUUUAUUACACAUAAAAAACAAAUACACGGAAAAUUUCCACUGCUAAGACUGAAAAAGGAAGAAAAGCUCAUCCUGAAGGCUGAAAAAUGCUGCAAAAUGGGAAUUUAAUGUGAAGACGCUCGUGAGAAAUGUUGCUAUAACACAAAAUAACCACCCUGAGGAAUGUGAGCCAGCAAAGGAAUGCAGAGAGCUCUGCCUGGGAGCUAUAUGAACAAGUUAAGGAAUGAAAUGAUACAAACACAGCACCCAACUUUUGUAUCAUUAUAGAACCUCGCCAUUUGUCAAAAAAAAAAAAAAAAAAAGCAGAGACCACCUGCAUGCAGGACUAGGAUGUCUUUGAAAACAGCUUUUCCUUUUUUGUUUG